Molecule: non-coding RNA, 55 nt
Filed under: uncultured Mamiellales
Lineage: Eukaryota; Viridiplantae; Chlorophyta; Mamiellophyceae; Mamiellales
Source: RNAcentral
GGUAUAGUGUUGAGGUGAUCAUCUACAUGGACCUCGAGGCAAUGCUCCGCGAUGG